CAGGUGUCUGUCUGUUGGUGUUGUUUAUCCUCCAGGUGUCUGUCUGUUGGUGUUGUUUAUCCUCCAGGUGUCUGUCUGUUGGUGUUGUUUAUCCUCCAGGUCUCUGUCUGUCUGUUGGUGUUGUUUAUCCUCCAGGUCUCUGUCUGUCUGUUGGUGUUGUUUAUCCUCCAGGUCUCUGUCUGUUGGUGUUGUUUAUCCUCCAGGUCUCUGUCUGUUGGUGUUGUUUAUCCUCCAGGUCUCUGUCUGUCUGUUGGUGUUGUUUAUCCUCCAGGUCUCUGUCUGUCUGUUGGUGUUGUUUAUCCUCCAGGUCUCUGUCUGUCUGUUGGUGUUGUUUAUCCUCCAGGUGUCUGUCUGUUGUUGGUGUU
Molecule: long non-coding RNA, 365 nt
Filed under: Salmo salar (Atlantic salmon)
Lineage: Eukaryota; Metazoa; Chordata; Actinopteri; Salmoniformes; Salmonidae
Description: lncRNA (ENSSSAG00000103762.1, ENSSSAG00000109890.1)
Source: RNAcentral